GUUAGCUGGGUCUUCAUGUGUGUCUGGUGUUAGCUGGGUCUUCAUGUGUGUCUGGUGUUAGCUGGGUCUUCAUGUGUGUCUGGUGUUAUCUAGUUACUGGUUAGCUGGGUCUUCAUCUGUGUCUGGUGUUAGCUGGUUACUGGUUAGCUAGGUCCUCAUCUGUGUCUGGUGUUAGCUGGGUCUUCAUCCGUGUCUGGUGUUAGCUAGGUCUUCAUCUGUGUCUGGUGUUAGUUAUCUAGUUACUGGUUAGCUGAGUCUUCAUCUGUGUCUGGUGUUAGCUAGUUACUGGUUAGCUAGGUCUUCAUCUGUGUCUGGUGUUAUCUAGUUACUGGUUAGCUAGGUCUUCAUCUGUGUCUGGUGUUAGCUAGGUCUUCAUCUGUGUCUGGUGUUAGCUAGGUCUUCAUCUGUGUCUGGUGUUAGCUAGGUCUUCAUCUGUGUCUGGUGUUAGCUAGGUCUUCAUCUGUGUCUGGUGUUAGCUAGGUCUUCAUCUGUGUCUGGUGUUAGCUAGGUCUUCAUCUGUGUCUGGUGUUAGCUAGGUCUUCAUCUGUGUCUGGUGUUAGCUAGGUCUUCAUCUGUGUCUGGUGUU
Molecule: long non-coding RNA, 586 nt
Organism: Oncorhynchus keta (chum salmon)
Lineage: Eukaryota; Metazoa; Chordata; Actinopteri; Salmoniformes; Salmonidae
Exons: 5
Source: RefSeq, a predicted model, not a curated record